This 378-nucleotide ribosomal RNA is filed under the name uncultured Bacteroidales bacterium. RNAcentral's name for it is "bacterial SSU rRNA". It matches the Rfam family "Bacterial small subunit ribosomal RNA", at positions 37 to 414 of the family's 1533-position model. Lineage: Bacteria; Pseudomonadati; Bacteroidota; Bacteroidia; Bacteroidales. The record is from RNAcentral.
UAGCUACAGGCUUAACACAUGCAAGUCGAGGGGUAGCAGGGUAGCAAUACCGCCGACGACCGGCGCACGGGUGAGUAACACGUAUCCAACCUUCCCAUUACUCGGGGAUAGCCUUUCGAAAGAAAGAUUAAUACCCGAUAGUACAAUGAAUAGGCAUCUAUUUAUUGUUAAAGAUUUAUUGGUAAUGGAUGGGGAUGCGUUCCAUUAGAUUGUUGGUGAGGUAACGGCUCACCAAGUCUUCGAUGGAUAGGGGUUCUGAGAGGAAGGUCCCCCACAUUGGUACUGAGACACGGACCAAACUCCUACGGGAGGCAGCAGUGAGGAAUAUUGGUCAAUGGGCGAGAGCCUGAACCAGCCAAGUAGCGUGAAGGAUGACGG